RNAcentral lists this ribosomal RNA (401 nucleotides) under uncultured bacterium. RNAcentral's name for it is "bacterial SSU rRNA". It matches the Rfam family "Bacterial small subunit ribosomal RNA", at positions 359 to 776 of the family's 1533-position model. The record is from RNAcentral.
GAAUUUUGCGCAAUGGGCGAAAGCCUGACGCAGCAACGCCGCGUGGGGGAUGAAGGCCUUCGGGUUGUAAACCCCUUUUAGGAGGGAAGAAAUUGACGGUACCUCCAAAAGAGGCACCGGCCACCUACGUGCCAGCAGCCGCGGUAAUACGUAGGGUGGGAGCGUUAUCCGGAAUCCUUGGGCGUAAAGAGCUCGUAGGCGGUUCAGCAAGUCGGCUGUGAAAGUCUGAGGCUCAACCUCAGAAUUGCAGUCGAUACUGCUGUGACUCGAGUCCGGUAGAGGAGAACGGAAUUCCCGGUGUAGCGGUGAAAUGCGCAGAUAUCGGGAGGAACACCAGUAGCGAAGGCGGUUCUCUGGGCCGGCACUGACGCUGAGGAGCGAAAGCGUGGGGAGCAAACAGG